UGCAGUCGUACGAGAGUUUUUACUCAAGUGGCGGACGGGUGAGUAACACGUAAGAAUUUGCCUUUAGGAGGGGGACAACAACUGGAAACGGUUGCUAAUACCCCAUAUGCUUUCGAGUGAAACGGUUUUUCCGCCUAAAGAGAAGCUUGCGGCUGAUUAGCUUGUUGGUAAGGUAAUGGCUUACCAAGGCGACGAUCAGUAUCUGGUUUGAGAGGACGAUCAGCCACACUGGGACUGAGACACGGCCCAGACUCCUACGGGAGGCAGCAGUGGGGAAUUUUCCGCAAUGGGCGAAAGCCUGACGGAGCAAGACCGCGUGAGGGAGGAAGGCUCUUGGGUUGUAAACCUCUUUUCUCAGGGAAGAAGAUCUGACGGUACCUGAGGAAUCAGCCUCGGCUAACUCCGUGCCAGCAGCCGCGGUAAUACG
RNAcentral lists this ribosomal RNA (427 nucleotides) under uncultured organism. Its description in RNAcentral is "bacterial SSU rRNA". It matches the Rfam family "Bacterial small subunit ribosomal RNA", at positions 56 to 527 of the family's 1533-position model. The record is from RNAcentral.